AUGGCCGACGCAGGUCAAAGAGUAGUAUCUGUUCAUAUCAGCGUAAUAUCUGAUAAGGGUUGUACUUGGACCCGAGAUAUGAAGCUCAUUUUUGCAAGUUGCCGGAGUGCUUGAAGCCUGCUUCACCUCCACCGCGGGUCGGCCUUGUAUUGCACUAUCUUUGGGAUUUUUGGUCUACGGACA
This is a small nuclear RNA of Dermacentor silvarum, 183 nucleotides long. RefSeq annotates it as U2 spliceosomal RNA. The record is from RefSeq and is a predicted model, not a curated record. The transcript has a single exon. NCBI's taxonomy places the organism in Eukaryota, Metazoa, Arthropoda, Arachnida, Ixodida, Ixodidae.